CCUACGGGAGGCAGCAGUGGGGAAUUUUGGACAAUGGGGGCAACCCUGAUCCAGCAAUGCCGCGUGAGUGAAGAAGGCCCUCGGGUUGUAAAGCUCUUUUGUCAGGGAAGAAAAGGUUGCGGCUAAUAUCCGCGACUCAUGACGGUACCUGAAGAAUAAGCACCGGCUAACUACGUGCCAGCAGCCGCGGUAAUACGUAGGGUGCAAGCGUUAAUCGGAAUUACUGGGCGUAAAGCGUGCGCAGGCGGUUUUGUAAGACUGUCGUGAAAUCCCCGGGCUUAACCUGGGAAUGGCGAUGGUGACUGCAAGGCUAGAGUUUGGCAGAGGGGGGUAGAAUUCCACGUGUAGCAGUGAAAUGCGUAGAUAUGUGGAGGAACACCGAUGGCGAAGGCAGCCCCCUGGGUCAAAACUGACGCUCAUGCACGAAAGCGUGGGGAGCAAACAGGAUUAGAUACCCUGGUAGUCCACGCCCUAAACGAUGUCUACUAGUUGUCGGGUCUUAAUUGACUUGGUAACGCAGCUAACGCGUGAAGUAGACCGCCUGGGGAGUACGGUCGCAAGNUUAAAACUCAAAGGAUUGACGGNUGAGAGNGCGAGACGACGACGAGGGAGAGG
RNAcentral lists this ribosomal RNA (615 nucleotides) under uncultured bacterium. RNAcentral describes it as "bacterial SSU rRNA". It matches the Rfam family "Bacterial small subunit ribosomal RNA", at positions 338 to 947 of the family's 1533-position model. The record is from RNAcentral.